GCGAGCACGCGCGUGUGGCAUAUCAAUAAGCGGAGGAAAAGAAACUAACAAGGAUUCCCUUAGUAACGGCGAGUGAAGCGGGAAGAGCUCAAAUUUGAAAUCUUCAAGGUUUCCCUUGACGAAUUGUAGUUUAUAGAAGUGUUUUCUGUUAGAGGAGUGGUAAAAGUUCUUUGGAAUAGGACAUCAUAGAGGGUGAGAAUCCCGUAUUUGGUCAUUCCUCCUAGCGUUGUGAUACACUUUCAACGAGUCGGAUUGUUUGGGAAUGCAGUCCAAAAUGGGUGGUAAAUUUCAUCUAAAGCUAAAUAUUGGCGAGAGACCGAUAGCGAACAAGUACCGUGAGGGAAAGAUGAAAAGAACUUUGAAAAGAGAGUUAAACAGUACGUGAAAUUGUCAAAAGGGAAGCGUUUGACACCAGUGUUGUUUUUCCGAAAAUCAAUUACGAAUGUUUUGUUUUUGAGGAGUUAUGACUUCAUCGGCUUGCUCCUUUCUUUACGAAACUUUCUUAAUGCACUUUUCGGUUAACAAGUCAACAUCAAUUUCUUUUGUUGUAAAAGGGUAUGAGGAAGGUGGUUUCUUUUCGGAGAAAGUGUUUAUAGCCUUGUGCCUCUAGCAAUCGGAGAGAUUGAGGUCUGCAGCGUAGAUCCUUCGGGGUUAGAUACGUUUGUGCUAAGUUAUAGCUUUUCAUAGACAACUUGUUGACUAUGUUUAGUCUUGUAGCUUACUCGCUAGACGCUAUUUUACCUACGCUUAGGAUGUUGAACUCUAUCACACACAG
Molecule: ribosomal RNA, 775 nt
Filed under: uncultured Neocallimastigales
Lineage: Eukaryota; Fungi; Neocallimastigomycota; Neocallimastigomycetes; Neocallimastigales
Description: partial large subunit ribosomal RNA
Rfam family: Eukaryotic large subunit ribosomal RNA
Source: RNAcentral